CUAAGUCGGGCUGCCUGCUCAGUGGGAAGCCUGCUGCUCCCUCUGCCUCUCAGCCCCUGCUCAUGCUCUCUCGUUCACUCUCUCUCUCUCAAAUAAAUAAAUAAAAUCUUUAGAAAUAUAUAAGUGUAUUCUCUAUAAAUAUGCAUAUGGACAUAUACAUACAUUUCUCUCUAUGUAUACAUAUAUCUAUAUACAUAAUUUUUUCACAAAUGGUAGCAUCCUCUAUAUAUUAUUUUGCACUUUGCAUUUUUUACCUAACGAAUUAUCUUGGAGAACUUUCCAUGUCAGUGCCUCAUUUUUUUAACAGCUGAAUGGUGUUUCAUGAUAGGCAAGUACUGCAAUAUAUUUAAAUAGUCCCCUAUUGAUGGACAUACAGGUUGUGUAUUGAUUCUAUAUGGCUGUAUAAUAAAUUACUCCAAAACACAGUGACAAAAAAAAAACAAUAAAAAUUUAUCUUCUCUUAGGUUUUCUGUUGAUCAGAACUUUGAGUGGGACUGAGCUGGACGGUUCUCACUUGAGGUCUCUCAUGAGGCCACAGUCAGAUGUUGGCGGGGGCUGCUGUCAUCUGAAGACUCAACUGGGACCGGAGGAUCCAUGUCUAAGGUUACUCAUUCUUGUAACUGGCAAGGUGGUGCUGGCCGAAGGCUGGCAGCCUCAGUUCCUCUCUGCAUGGACCUUCCUAUGGAGCUGCGUGGCGUUUCCCCGUGGCUGCUGGGGCUCGCAGCCUCCGGGCUCUGGUGCUGAUGCCUAAGCGUCCCUGCUCAGUAGAAUGUCGGGCCCCUGGAGAAGGAGGACAGAACAGACGUGAAUCACCAAGAACAGCAGCUAAGGCCCGGAUCCUUUCUAUUCGGCUCUGCUAGAACUCAUCGCUUACGUCUGAACACAGGCACUGUGGGGUAGAUGGAGGUGGAUCGUGCCCAAGGAACAGUUCGAAUUUGAAGGACAGGCAUCAGGACCUUCUCCAUGGCCUCCCUGAGUCUGUGGAGCCACGCGAAUGCCCCUGCAACCAGGCCGCGCUCCGAGCACACAGGACGGCAAGGCUCCUGGAAUUUUAGCAGCAGCUACGUUGACUCGUGUGAGGUAGGAGUGACAGUUUCCGACAAAGGAUUCACCGAAAAUGGAACUUGGGUCAUCAAUUGGGUUUGGGGACACGACUUUUUCAAGAGCAGACCAAAGGCCUAGAAUAAGACCCUCUAUCCCAUACAGUGAAGGAAGAAGUUAGUUGCCCAAUCCAGGGAUCUGGCAGACCCCCCGCUUCCCGUCCUUCGCUGUCCUCCUGUCCCGGAA
Long non-coding RNA from Ailuropoda melanoleuca (giant panda), 1287 nucleotides. RefSeq lists it as uncharacterized. The transcript is spliced from 4 exons. NCBI's taxonomy places the organism in Eukaryota, Metazoa, Chordata, Mammalia, Carnivora, Ursidae. The record is from RefSeq and is a predicted model, not a curated record.